AGAUGGCUUUUAGAGGAUAGAAAUCCAAUUAUGUAAGGUUGAAUACCUUGUGUUCCGUCCAAGAAGCUUCCCCAGCACCAUACUAGACAUGUCCAUCACUAAUAACUAUUGCAUCCUAUCGAAAAAUUCAAUUGUUGGAAUUCCAUUCAUUGUGGAUUUCGUAAUGUCUCCCUCAAAAAGUUCAAGGUCCUCCUCAAUCCCAUUCCUAUAAUACAUGGAAAAAUUCUUAGAUACAAAGGCUUUUUUUCUCAACAACCUAUCUUUCCAUGAAAACACAGGCUCCGGUGGUAGAUCCACCGCGAUCUCAAUGCCUUCCUCACCUUUCUUUCCUUUG
This 334-nucleotide long non-coding RNA is filed under the name Gossypium barbadense (sea-island cotton). RNAcentral describes it as "long non-coding RNA (GBAR_LNC014023)". The record is from RNAcentral. Lineage: Eukaryota; Viridiplantae; Streptophyta; Magnoliopsida; Malvales; Malvaceae.